AUGCGGGUCUCAUCUGAGUGCAACCAGGAGCUGAGCCUCACGGUCCGGGACGGUGCCGCCGUCCUCGCGCGCACGGAUCUUGAGGAUGACAAACAAGCUUGGAUCCAGAGCUUCCGGAACACCGGGCGCGUGACGGACUCGGAGGGGCGCAGCUCGUUUGCGCUGGUCAAUAAGGCCACCAGGAAGGCGCUGCGGCGCUCCCAUGGCGACCAGAAGCUCCAGGUGGUCGGCUACUGCCCGGACUCGGUGGAUGGUAUAGAUGUCGCGCUGCUGUGGACGCGGGGCGGCGACCUUGGAGAAGGGUACCACUGCAUCCGCAGCGUCAGCGACCUCGGGUAUGUCCUCGAUGCGGCGGAGGGCAUGUCCGAAACCGGCGGGGCGCACGAUGGGACGCCCAUUAUCUUGUUCCAGGCCAACGGCGGCCCGAACCAGAAGUGGAAGAUGACGCCAUUUCAUUGA
Molecule: ribosomal RNA, 459 nt
Filed under: Triticum aestivum (bread wheat)
Lineage: Eukaryota; Viridiplantae; Streptophyta; Magnoliopsida; Poales; Poaceae
Description: partial small subunit ribosomal RNA
Source: RNAcentral